RNAcentral lists this transfer RNA (74 nucleotides) under compost metagenome. RNAcentral's name for it is "tRNA-Arg". It matches the Rfam family "tRNA". Rfam says of the family: Transfer RNA (tRNA) molecules are approximately 80 nucleotides in length. The record is from RNAcentral.
GUCCCCUUAGCUCAGCAGGAUAGAGCGUCAGUUUCCUAAACUGUAGGUCAGUGGUUCGAGUCCACUAGGGGACG